CAGCAGCCACGGGAAUACGAAGGGGGGUAGCGUUGCUCGGAAUUACUGGGCGUAAAGGGAGCGUAGGCGGACUUUUAAGUCAGGGGUGAAAUCCCAGAGCUCAACUCUGGAACUGCCUUUGAUACUGGGUGUCUUAAGUGUGAUAGAGGUAUGUGGAACUCCGAGUGUAGAGGUGAAAUUCGUAGAUAUUCGGAAGAACACCAGUGGCGAAGGCGACAUACUGGAUCAUUACUGACGCUGAGGCUCGAAAGCGUGGGGAGCAAACAGGAUUAGAUACCCCUGUAGUCCCUGUCUCUUAUAC
RNAcentral lists this ribosomal RNA (301 nucleotides) under uncultured bacterium. RNAcentral's name for it is "partial 16S ribosomal RNA". It matches the Rfam family "Bacterial small subunit ribosomal RNA", at positions 509 to 807 of the family's 1533-position model. The record is from RNAcentral.